Long non-coding RNA from Mytilus trossulus (common blue mussel), 171 nucleotides. RefSeq lists it as uncharacterized. The record is from RefSeq and is a predicted model, not a curated record. The transcript has 3 exons. Lineage: Eukaryota; Metazoa; Mollusca; Bivalvia; Mytilida; Mytilidae.
AUCUUGUAAAACAUACGAGACACUUGGUACCAAAGAAAAAAUAAGUGUUUAUGAUGAUUUAGAAAAAACCAAAGGUGUAACAUCAUCGAAAUCUUCGAUGGGUGUUUACGAAGCGCUAGGUGUCCAAGACAAACCAAGCAUUUAUGCUGAAAUGGAAAACCAGAAAGGUAG